GAUGAACGCUGGCGGCGUGCUUAAUACAUGCAAGUCGAGCGAACAGACGAGGAGCUUGUUCCUCUGACGUUAGCGGCGGACGGGUGAGUAACACGUGGAUAACCUACCUAUAAGACUGGUAUAAUUACGGGAAACCGGAGCAAAUCCGGUAUAAUAUAUUGAACCGUAUGGUUCAAUAGUGAAAGACGGUGUUUCUGUAAGUAAUAGCGGGAUCUCGGCUGUAUGAGCUGGUUGGUAAGGUAACGGCUUAUCAAGGCGACGAUGCGUAGCCGAACGGAGAGGGUGAUCGCCCACACGAGAGCUGAGCCACGCCCCAGACUCCUGCGGGAGGCAGCAGUAGGGAAUCGUACGCAGUAGGCGAGAACCUGGCAGAGCAGCGCCGCGUGAGUGAUGGAGGUCUUCGGAUCGUAAAGCUCUGUUAUUAGGGAAAAACAAAUGUGUAAGUAGCUAUGCACGUCUUGACGGUACCUAAUCAGAAAGCCACGGCUAACUACGUG
RNAcentral lists this ribosomal RNA (497 nucleotides) under uncultured bacterium. RNAcentral's name for it is "partial 16S ribosomal RNA". It matches the Rfam family "Bacterial small subunit ribosomal RNA", at positions 28 to 507 of the family's 1533-position model. The record is from RNAcentral.